GUUUUUAUAAUGUAAAUAUAACAUAUAGUCCUUUCAAGACUAAACUAACAAUUGUUUAAAAACG
Molecule: transfer RNA, 64 nt
Filed under: Gammarus pisinnus
Lineage: Eukaryota; Metazoa; Arthropoda; Malacostraca; Amphipoda; Gammaridae
Description: tRNA-Glu
Source: RNAcentral